UACGUAGGGGGCGAGCGUUGUCCGGAGUUACUGGGCGUAAAGGGCACGCAGGCGGUUGUGUCAGUUUGCGGGGACAGUGGGCGGCUUAACUGCCCAGGGGUCGCAAAGACGGCACGACUGGAGAGCGAGAGAGGGACCUGGAACUCCGGGUGGAGCGGUGAAAUGCGUAGAGAUCCGGAAGAACACCACUGGCGAAGGCAAGGUCCUGGCUCGUAUCUGACGCUGAGGUGCGAAAGCUAGGGGAGCGAACGGG
Molecule: ribosomal RNA, 253 nt
Filed under: uncultured bacterium
Lineage: Bacteria
Description: partial 16S ribosomal RNA
Rfam family: Bacterial small subunit ribosomal RNA
Source: RNAcentral